Molecule: ribosomal RNA, 427 nt
Filed under: uncultured bacterium
Lineage: Bacteria
Description: partial 16S ribosomal RNA
Rfam family: Bacterial small subunit ribosomal RNA
Source: RNAcentral
GUGGGGAAUAUUGGGCAAUGGGGGAAACCCUGACCCAGCGACGCCGCGUGAGGGAAGAAGGCCUUAGGGUCGUAAACCUCUGUUGUGUGGGAAGAAGAGCGUGACGGUACCACACGAGGAAGUCCCGGCUAACUACGUGCCAGCAGCCGCGGUAAUACGUAGGGGACGAGCGUUGUCCGGAUUUACUGGGCGUAAAGGGCGCGUAGGCGGUCAUUUAAGUCAGCUGGGAAAUGGUUUGGCUUAACCGGAUCAUGCGGUUGAAACUGGAUGACUGGAGUGCUGGAGAGGCAAGUGGAAUUCCCAGUGUAGCGGUGAAAUGCGUAGAUAUUGGGAAGAACACCGGUGGCGAAGGCGACUUGCUGGCCAGCAACUGACGCUGAGGCGCGAAAGCCAGGGGAGCAAACGGGAUUAGAUACCCGGGUAGUCC